UCCCUGGUAGCUCAACUGGUAAAGAAUCUGCCUGCAAUGCAGAAGACCCCGGUUUGAUUCCUGGAUUGGGAA
RNAcentral lists this transfer RNA (72 nucleotides) under Ovis aries (sheep). It matches the Rfam family "tRNA". Rfam says of the family: Transfer RNA (tRNA) molecules are approximately 80 nucleotides in length. Their secondary structure includes four short double-helical elements and three loops (D, anti-codon, and T loops). Lineage: Eukaryota; Metazoa; Chordata; Mammalia; Artiodactyla; Bovidae. The record is from Rfam by way of RNAcentral.